This 210-nucleotide long non-coding RNA is filed under the name Mytilus galloprovincialis (Mediterranean mussel). Lineage: Eukaryota; Metazoa; Mollusca; Bivalvia; Mytilida; Mytilidae. The record is from RNAcentral.
CAUAUAUAUUUUGCCUGCUAUGGCUAUGGUGAUGCCUUCAUUUUUACUCUUUUAUUAUUAGGUCUGUUUCAGAGCUUCACGAUUACAUUUGUUUAAAAUCAAGAGCACUAAUUUAUCUUGCUUGUAUGCCUAUAUAUAUCCUAUGGCAGCUACAUUCCAAUUUUGUUAACUGCGUUGUAUCAGUUCUUCCUUCCAUGAUAACUCCAAGAU